CCAGCAGGGAUUGCCUCAGUAACGGCGAGUGAAGCGGCANCAGCUCAAAUUUGAAAUCUGGCCCUCUCAGGGUCCGAGUUGUAAUUNGGAGAAGAUGCUUCGGGUGUGGCNNCGGUCUAAGUUCCUUGGAACAGGACGUCACAGAGGGUGAGANUNCCGUAUGUGACCGGUGGCCUCCCCCAUGUGAAGCUCUUUCGACGAGUCGAGUUGUUUGGGAAUGCAGCUCAAAAUGGGUGGUAAAUUUCAUCUAAAGCUAAAUAUUGGCCAGAGACCGAUAGCGCACAAGUAGAGUGAUCGAAAGAUGAAAAGCACUUUGGAAAGAGAGUUAAACAGUACGUGAAAUUGUUGAAAGGGAAGCGCUUGCAACCAGACUUGCGCGCGGCCGAUCAUCCGGUGUUCGCACCGGUGCACUCGGUCGCGCUCAGGCCAGCAUCGGUUUGGGUGGCUAGAUAAAGGCCUCGGGAAUGUGGCUCUCUUCGGGGAGUGUUAUAGCCCGAGGUGCCAUGUAGCCUACCCAGACCGAGGACCGCGCUUC
This 535-nucleotide ribosomal RNA is filed under the name uncultured fungus. RNAcentral's name for it is "eukaryotic LSU rRNA". It matches the Rfam family "Eukaryotic large subunit ribosomal RNA", at positions 65 to 603 of the family's 3401-position model. The record is from RNAcentral. Lineage: Eukaryota; Fungi.